CGGAGUGAGGAAUACCAGCGAGAAAUCGUUGACAAUUCCGCAUAGGCUCUCGUUUCCGCGAGGAGGGAGAGCAAAGCCUGGUUCGUGAGAGCGAGCGAGGUGCCCUGGGAGGAGCCUGCGUCCGAUUAGCUAGUUGGGGGGGUGAUGGCCUCCCAAGGCGACGAUCGGUAGCUGGUCUGAGAGGACGAUCAGCCACACUGGGAUUGAGAACGGCCCAG
This 218-nucleotide ribosomal RNA is filed under the name uncultured bacterium. RNAcentral describes it as "partial 16S ribosomal RNA". It matches the Rfam family "Bacterial small subunit ribosomal RNA", at positions 132 to 334 of the family's 1533-position model. The record is from RNAcentral.